This 445-nucleotide ribosomal RNA is filed under the name uncultured bacterium. Its description in RNAcentral is "bacterial SSU rRNA". It matches the Rfam family "Bacterial small subunit ribosomal RNA", at positions 330 to 792 of the family's 1533-position model. The record is from RNAcentral.
CCCAGACUCCUACGGGAGGCAGCAGUGGGGAAUAUUGCACAAUGGGGGAAACCCUGAUGCAGCGACGCCGCGUGAGUGAAGAAGUAAUUCGUUAUGUAAAGCUCUAUCAGCAGGGAAGAAAAUGACGGUACCUGAGUAAGAAGCCCCGGCUAACUACGUGCCAGCAGCCGCGGUAAUACGUAGGGGGCGAGCGUUAUCCGGAUUUACUGGGUGUAAAGGGAGCGUAGACGGUUCUGCAAGUCUGAAGUGAAAGCCCGUGGCUUAACCGCGGAACGGCUUUGGAAACUGUGGAACUGGAGUGCUGGAGAGGCAAGCGGAAUUCCUAGUGUAGCGGUGAAAUGCGUAGAUAUUAGGAGGAACACCAGUGGCGAAGGCGGCCUACUGGACGGUGACUGACGCUGAGGCUCGAAAGCGUGGGGAGCAAACAGGAUUAGAUACCCCCGUA